Small nucleolar RNA from Ornithorhynchus anatinus (platypus), 138 nucleotides. Lineage: Eukaryota; Metazoa; Chordata; Mammalia; Monotremata; Ornithorhynchidae. The record is from RefSeq and is a predicted model, not a curated record.
CCCCUCUCGGGAUCGCACCUCGAGAGUUUCCAGUACUCCAAGAGUCUCGGCUAUGGGAGGGAGAGUCAAGCAGAGGUAUACUCAUCCCAUUCCUAGCUUGGGCAGUGGCUAGAGAGUGGAAGGCAAUCCGCUACAAGU